Molecule: small RNA, 580 nt
Filed under: Pan troglodytes (chimpanzee)
Lineage: Eukaryota; Metazoa; Chordata; Mammalia; Primates; Hominidae
Description: retained intron
Source: RNAcentral
GGAGAAGAGUUUGGAGGCAGAGCCCCUGCCUUGAUGAGGUUUCUUCUGGUGGGAGCUGAGUAAAUGAAAAUAUAGUGAGAUGUGAGGUCCUACCAAGUGUUGUGGAGAAAAAUCCAGCAGCUGAGGGGACAGAAGGAUGCUACUUAGGAGAUCUGAGAGGGCCUCUGUGAGGAGGUGCCACCUGAGCCUAGUUGAUUGUGAUCUCUGCCUUGUCAUCGCUUCCCUGUGUGAUCCUGAGCAAGUGGAUGUGCCUCGGGGCUUAGGGGCGGGGUGGGGUGCGGGACAGCACCCUGACUCCCUGUGGGCUGGGGGGCAGGGCCGCCGAGCUGGCCUGGGCAGUGCUGGAGACAUGACGUUGUCCAUGACGGGCCGGGAGCGGUCGGAGUACCUGCGCUGGAAGCAGGAGAGGGAGAAGAUCGACCAGGAGCGGCUGCAGAGGCACCGCAAGCCCACUGGCCAGUGGCGGCGCGAGUGGGAUGCCGAGAAGACCGAUGGGAUGUUCAAGGAUGGCCCAGUCCCUGCCCAUGAACCAUCCCACCGCUAUGAUGACCAGGCCUGGGCCCGGCCCCCGAAGCCCCCU